UCAGGUGUUUCCUCCUUUGCCAGCUCUUCAGGUGUUUCUUUAGCUGCCGGUUCUUCAGGUUUCUCUUCAACCUCCGGUUCUUGUGGUAUUUCCUCUACUUGUACUUCAGAUUUCUCCUCAAUUGUUGGUUCUUCAGGUUUCUCUCUAACCGCUGCUGCAUUAGGUUUCUCUUCAUUGGCUGGUUCUUCAGGUUUUUCUUCAACUACCGAUUCUUCAGGAUUUUCCUCAAUGUUUGGAAAGGGAGCGACAUCAUUAUUGGUAUUGCAUGGAAUUUCACUGCCAGUUUUGUCAUUCAAGUCCACAACUAGUAUAUUCUGCAAAAGAGUUUAAUGUUUCACUUAGUCUUUCAAUAAAGAAGCAGAUGCGAAUCAUUACAUAUACAUAACUAAUAACAUGGAUAAACUUUAUGACAGUAGUUGACCCUUACCUUUUCCACAAGAGUUACUUUUGCAGGUUUCUCCUCUUCAAGUGCUGGUUUCUCUUCAAAUGAUAGUUCAUUAGGUGUUUCUUCCCGUGUUGGUUCUUCAUGUGCUUCUUCAGUUACUGGUUUUUCAGGUUUCUCCUCAAUUGUUGGUUCUUCGCUUGUCUUCUCAACUGAUGGUUCCUCAUGCUUCUCUCCCGUUGUUGAUUUUUCGGGUUUCUCUUCAGUUGUCGAUGGUUCAGUUUUUUUCUCAACCGCUGGUUCUUUUGGCUUCUCCAAAACCAUUUCCGAUUUCUCUUCAGUUGGUGGUUCUUCAUGGUUUUUUUCAACUACUGGUUCUUCUCUUUUUUCCUCAACUGAUGCAUAGUCAGCAAUAUCGUUGUUGGUAUUGCUUGGAAUUGCAUUGUCUGUCUUGUCCUUUGAGCUUACAAUUGGCAUAUUCUGCUAGAAAAAUAUAAAGUUUCAUGUAGUCUUUCAACAGAGAAACCAAUGUAAAUUUGUUGCACAUAUAAAGCUAACAAAUAUGAUGGAUAGACUUUGCGAGAGUGUUUAAUACUCACCUUCUCCGGAAGAGCUUCCGUUUCAGGUUCCUCUUCAAUUUCUGCUUUUUCAUCUUUCUCUUCAACAACUAGUUCUUCAGGUGUCUCUUCAACCGUUGAUUCUUCAGGUUUCUCUUCAAGUGUUAGUUCUUGAGGUGUUUCCUCCUUUGCUAGCUCUUCAGGUGUUUCUGUAACUGCCGGUUCUUCAGGUUCCUCUUCAGCCACCGGCUGUUGACGUAUCUCCUCUACUUGUACUUCAGAUUUCUCCUCAAUUGUUGGUUCUUCAGGUUUCUCCUUAACCGCUGGUACAUCAGGUUUAUCCUCAUUGACUGGUUCUUCAACUGCUGAUUCUUCUAGAUUUUCCUCAAUGUCUGGAAAGCGAGCAACAUCAUUAUUGGUAUUGCAUGGAAUUUCAUUUCCAGUUUCGUUAUUCGAGUCUACAAUUAGCAUAUUCUGCAAAAAGAAUUUAAUGUUUCAUUUAGCCUUUCAAUAAAGAAGCAUAUGCGAAUAACAGUACAUGCAUAACUAACAAAAUGGAUAAACUUUGUGAUAGUGCUUGAUCCUUACCUUUGCCAAAAGAGUUACCUUUUCAGGUUUCUCCUCUUCAACGGUUGGUUCUUCAUGUUUCUUUUCAAAUGCUAGUUCCUUGGUUGUUUCUUCCGGUGUUGGUUCCAUAGGUGUUUCUUCAGUUACUUGUUUUUCGGGUUUCUCUUCAAUUAUUGGUUCUUCGAUUGUCUUCUCAACUGAUGGUUCUUCAAGAUUUUCUCCCACUGUUGGUUUUUGGGGUUUCUCUUCUAUUGUUGGUUGUUCAGGAAUUUUCUCAACUGGUGGUUCUGCUGGAUAUUCCAAAACCAUUGAUUCUUCAGAUUUCUCUUCAAUUGAUGGUUCUUCAUGGGUUUUUUCAACUACUGGUUCUUCAAUUUUUUCCUCAACAGAUGCAUAGUCAACAAUAUCAUUAUUGGUAUUGCUUGGAAUUGCAUCGUCUGUCAUGUCCUUUGAGUUUACUUUUGGCAUAUUCUGCAAUAGAGUUUCAUGUAAUCUUUCAACAGAUAAACAGAUGUAAAUUUGUUGCACAUAUAAAGCUAAUAUGGUGGAUAAACUUUGUGACAGUGUUUAAUCCUCACCUUCUCCUGAAGAUCUUCCGCUUCAAGUUCCUCCUCUACAAUUGCAGUUUUUUCCUCUUCCCCUUCAACAACUAGUUCUUCAGGUGCCUCUUCAGCCGUUGAUUCUUCAGGUUUCUCUUCAAGUGCUAGUUCUUCAGGUGUUUCCUCCUUUGCCAGCUCUUCAGGUGUUUCUUUAGAUGCCGAUUCUUCAGGUUUCUCUUCAGCCAUCGGUUCUUGAGGUAUUUCCUCUACUUGUACUUCAUAUUUCUCCUCAAUUGUUUGUUCUUCAGGUUUCUCUUCAGGUUUCUCCUUAACCACUGGUACAUCAGGUUUCUCUUGAUUAACUGGUUCUUUGGGUUUUUCUUCAACAGCCGAAUCUUCAGGAUUUUCCUCAAUGUCUUGAAAGCAAGCAAUAUCUUUAGUGGUAUUGCAUGGAAUUUCACUGCCAGUUUUGUUGUUCGAGUCUACAAUUAGCAUAUUCUGCAAAAGGAAUUUGAUGUUUCAUUUAGCCUUUUAAUAAAGAAGCAGAUGUGAAUAACAUUACAUGCAUAACUUACAAAAUGGAUAAAUUUUGUGACAGUCCUUGACCCUUACCUUUUCAGGUUUCUCCUCUUCAACAGCUGAUUCUUCAUGUUUCUCUUCAAAUGCUAGUUCUCUGGGUGUUUCUUCCCGUAGUGCUUCUUCAUGUGCUUCUUCAGUUACUGGUUUUUCAGGUUUCUCCUCAAUUGUUGGUUCUUUGAUUGUCUCCUCAACAGAUGGUUCUUCAAGCUUCUCUCCCGUUGUUGAUUUUUCUGGUUUCUCUUCAAUUGCUGGUUGUUCAGGAAUUUUCUCAACAGCUGGUUCUUCUGGCUUCUCUAAAACCAUUGAUUCUUCAGCUUUCUCUUCAAUUGAUGGUUCUUCAUGGUUUUUUUCAACUAUUGGUUCUUCAGUUUUUUCCUCAACGGAUGCAUAGUCAACAAUAUCAUUGUUGGUAUUGCUUGGAAUUGCAUCGUCUGUCAUGUCCUUUGAGUUUACUUUUGGCAUAUUCUACAAUAAAGUUUCAUGUAGUCUUUCAAUAGAUAAACAGAUGUAAAUUUGUUGCAACAUAUAAAGCUAAUAUGGUGGAUAAACUUUGUGACAGUGUUUAAUCCUCACCUUCUCCCGAAGAUCUUCCGCUUUAAGUUCCUCCUCUUCAAUUGCUGUUUUUUCAUCUUUCGUUUCAACAACUAGUUCUUCAGGUGCCUCUUCAGCCGUUGAUUCUUCAGGUUUUUCUUCAAGUGCCAGCUCUUCAGGUGUUUCCUCCUUUGCCAUCUCUUCAGGUGUUUCCUCCUUUGCCAGCUCUUCAGGUGUUUCUUUAGCUGCUGGUUCUUCAGGUUUCUCUUCAGCCGCCAGUUCUUGAGGUAUCUCCUUUUCUACUUCAGAUUUCUCCUCAACUGUUGGUUCUUCAG
This 3490-nucleotide long non-coding RNA is filed under the name Capsicum annuum. RNAcentral describes it as "long non-coding RNA (CANN_LNC003850)". The record is from RNAcentral. Lineage: Eukaryota; Viridiplantae; Streptophyta; Magnoliopsida; Solanales; Solanaceae.